AGACUCCGUAAUUUAUAAUAAACAGAUUUCUUUCCCCCUCACGAUUCUGCAGGUUGGGAUGUAGAAGAUCAAGGUGCCAGGAUGUCGGGGCCCAGUCUCUCUGUUUCCAAGAUGAUGUCCUGAGCACUGCGUCCUCUGGAGGGAAGAAACCCUAAAUCCGCACGUGGUAGAAGAGGAGAAGCGGCAACGCCUUCUCUGCAGUUCUUCUAAUAAGCUCCUAGACAGCAAGAGCAAGUUUCAGGAUUGUACAAAGAAGCAUUUAUCUGGGGAAUAAUGUUGAUUUUGGCACCUUGUUCCACAAGGAUCAAUUGAACAUGACUCUUCAGGGUCUAUACAAGGUAGGCGAAGAUAAC
RNAcentral lists this long non-coding RNA (353 nucleotides) under Fukomys damarensis (Damara mole-rat). RNAcentral's name for it is "lncRNA (ENSFDAG00000024290.1)". Lineage: Eukaryota; Metazoa; Chordata; Mammalia; Rodentia; Bathyergidae. The record is from RNAcentral.